RNAcentral lists this ribosomal RNA (482 nucleotides) under uncultured bacterium. RNAcentral describes it as "partial 16S ribosomal RNA". It matches the Rfam family "Bacterial small subunit ribosomal RNA", at positions 28 to 507 of the family's 1533-position model. The record is from RNAcentral.
GACGAACGCUGGCGGCGUGCUUAACACAUGCAAGUCGAACGAUGAAGAAGAGAAACGCGCCCUUCGGUUCAACUUUCACUUCGGAUUAGUGGCAGACGGGUGAGUAACGCGUGAGCAACCUACCUCUUACAAAGGGAUAGCCUCGGGAAACCGUGAUUAAUACCAUAUGACACAUUCAUAAGGCAUCUUAAGAAUGUUAAAGCUACGGCGGUAAGAGAUGGGCUCGCGUCCCAUUAGCUAGUUGGUGAGGUAACGGCCCACCAAGGCGACGAUGGGUAACCGGCCUGAGAGGGUGAACGGUCACAUUGGAACUGAGACACGGUCCAAACUCCUACGGGAGGCAGCAGUGGGGAAUAUUGCACAAUGGAGGGAACUCUGAUGCAGCGACGCCGCGUGAGCGAUGAAGGAAUUCGUUUCGUAAAGCUCUGUUCUAUGGGAAGAAAAGGACUGUACCAUAGGAGAAAGCCCCGGCUAAAUACGUG